RNAcentral lists this ribosomal RNA (442 nucleotides) under uncultured bacterium. Its description in RNAcentral is "bacterial SSU rRNA". It matches the Rfam family "Bacterial small subunit ribosomal RNA", at positions 354 to 796 of the family's 1533-position model. The record is from RNAcentral.
ACCGGGAAUCGUAGACAAUGGGCGAAAGCCUGAUCUCGCGACGCCGCGUGGAGGAUGAAGGCCCUCGGGUUGUAAACUCCUUUUAUCGGGGAAUAAGGUCCCGCUUCGCGGGACUUGACUGUACCCGAUGAAUAAGUCGCUGCCAACUACGUGCCAGCAGCCGCGGUGAUACGUAGGCGGCAAGCGUUACCCGGAUUUACUGGGCGUAAAGAGUGCGCAGGUGGUCUGGUAAGUUUUCGUUAAAAGCUAAAGGCUCAACCUUUGGAUCGCGUAAAUACUGCCAGACUUCGAGAAAGUCAGGGGGUACCGGAACAGAUGGUGUAGCAGUGAAAUGCGUUGAUAUCAUCUGGAACACCCAAGGCGAAGGCAGGUACCUGGGGCUUUUCUGACACUGAUGCACGAAAGCGUGGGGAGCGAACGGGAUUAGAUACCCGAGUAGUCC